UUAUUUAUUAAUAAUAAUUUAUUUUAUUAUUGUAUUUUGCUUAAUUGAAAAAAUAUAUGAAAAUUAAUUUUUGUUAAUAUUUUCUUAAUGGAUUUUAAUAAUUCUCAGUAUUUAAUAUUAAAUAUUAAAGAAAUUUAGAUUUAAUUAUUAAUUUUAAUAUAAACUAAAUAUGUGCCAGCAGUUGCGGUUAUACAUGAUAUGUGAGUACAAUAGUUUGGUUAUUAGUAUUUAAAAUAUGUGUGUAAUUUAUAAUUUAAUUUUUUUUAUAAGGUAAAAUUUAAUUAAGAAUUAUUGUUGUAAUUAUUUUAUUCUAUUAAAUUUUAGUUAAAAUUAGGAUUAGAUACCCUAUUAUAAAAAUUUAAAAUUUAUUACUUAAAAAUUAAUAGUUAUGUUCUUUAAAUUUAAAAAAUUUGGCGGUAUUUUAGUCUUAUUAGAGGAACCUGUUUAUUAAUUGAUAAUCCACGAUUAAUUUUACUUAUUUUUAAAAUUCAUAUAUCCCUGUCAUGAAUAUAUUAAAAAAUUUAAUUACUUUAAUUAAUUUUAUAAUUUAUGUUAAGUCAAGAUGUGGUUUAUACCUAAGUUUAUAAUUUGUUACAUUAAAUUUUAUUUUUGGAUUUUAUAUGAAAAUUUGUUAAUGAAAUUGGAUUUAAUAGUAAUUUUAAUUAUUUAAUUAAUAUGAAUAUAGAUCUAAAAUAUGUACAUAUUGCCCGUCAUUCUUAUUAAAUAUAAGACAAGUCGUAACAAAGUAAAUGUACUGGAAAGUGUAUUUAGAUAGA
This 776-nucleotide non-coding RNA is filed under the name Hormaphis betulae. The record is from RNAcentral. Lineage: Eukaryota; Metazoa; Arthropoda; Insecta; Hemiptera; Hormaphididae.